This 1234-nucleotide ribosomal RNA is filed under the name metagenome. Its description in RNAcentral is "bacterial LSU rRNA". It matches the Rfam family "Bacterial large subunit ribosomal RNA", at positions 1564 to 2808 of the family's 2925-position model. The record is from RNAcentral.
UGAAUACGAGAUGCUACGGCGUCGAAGCAGUCUAUGUCAUACUUCCAAGAAAAGCUUGCACUGUCAUAAACAAAUAAUGCCUGUACCAUAACCGACACAGGUGGGUAGGUAGAGUAUACUAAGGGGCGCGAGAUAGCUCUCUCUAAGGAACUCGGCAAAAUGACUCCGUAACUUCGGGAGAAGGAGUGCCUUAUUUAUAAGGUUGCAAUAACAAGAUCCAAGCAACUGUUUACCAAAAACACAGGUCUCCGCUAAGUCGUAAGACGAUGUAUGGGGGCUGACGCCUGCCCAGUGCCAGAAGGUUAAAGAAGUUGGUUAGCAUCCGCGAAGCUGAUAACUGAAGCCCUGGUGAACGGCGGCCGUAACGAUAACGGUCCUAAGGUAGCGAAAUUCCUUGUCGGGUAAGUUCCGACCCGCACGAAAGGCGUAAUGAUUUGGAUACUGUCUCGGAGAGGGGCUCGGUGAAAUAGACUUGUCUGUGAAGAUGCGGACUACCUGCACCAGGACAGAAAGACCCUAUGAAGCUUUACUGUAACCUGAAAUUGAAAUUGGACUUUACUUGCGCAGUAUAGGUGGGAGGCGUUGAGAAUAUUCUUGCGGGAUUAUUGGAGCCAUCAGUGAGAUACCACUCUUGUAAUGUUAGAUUUCUAACUUUGUAUCAUUAUCUGGUCAAAGAACAGUUUCAGGCGGGCAGUUUGACUGGGGCGGUCGCCUCCUAAACGGUAACGGAGGCGCACAAAGGUUUCCUCUGAACGGGUAGAAAUCGUAUCUAGAGUGUAAAGGCAUAAGGAAGCUUGACUGUGAGACCUACAAGUCGAGCAGGGACGAAAGUCGGUCUUAGUGAUCUGACGGUGCUGAGUGGAAAGGCCGUCACUCAACGGAUAAAAGUUACUCUAGGAUAACAGGCUGAUCUCCCCCAAGAGUUCACAUCGACGGGGAGGUUUGGCACCUCGAUGUCGGCUCAUCGCAUCCUGGGGCGGUAGUACGUCCCAAGGGUUGGGCUGUUCGCCCAUGAAAGCGGUACGCGAGCUGGGUUCAGAACGUCGUGAGACAGUUCGGUCCAUAUCCGGUGUAGGCGUUAGAAUAUUGAGAGGAGCCUUCUUUAGUACGAGAGGACCGAGAAGGACAUACCUCUGGUGUACCAGUUAUCGUGCCAACGGUAAACGCUGGGUAGCUAUGUGUGGAGUGGAUAACCGCUGAAAGCAUCUAAGUGGGAAGCCCACCUCAAGAUAAG